Molecule: transfer RNA, 86 nt
Filed under: Holosporaceae bacterium
Lineage: Bacteria; Pseudomonadati; Pseudomonadota; Alphaproteobacteria; Holosporales; Holosporaceae
Description: tRNA-Leu
Rfam family: tRNA
About the family: Transfer RNA (tRNA) molecules are approximately 80 nucleotides in length. Their secondary structure includes four short double-helical elements and three loops (D, anti-codon, and T loops).
Source: RNAcentral
GCCCGUGUGGCGGAAUGGUAGACGCUACAGACUUAAAAUUUGUUGCCCGAAAGGGCGUGGGGGUUCGAGUCCCUCCACGGGCACCA